UUCCAGGACAGCCAGGGCUACACGGAGAAACCCUGUCUCGAAAAACCAAAAAAAAAAAAAAAUUAACUCUAAGCCAGGUGUGGUGACUCAUUACAGUCCACUGCUCAGGAGGCUGAGGCAGGAGAAAGCUGCAAGUUUGAGGUCAGCUUGGGAUAUGCCACAAAUUCCAGAUCAGCCUAAAGUACUAUGUCAAAUCCUAUCUCAAUAAAUAGCAAUUCAUUUAACUCUCUUAGCUGCUUUUUAGGUAGAUAUGUCUUUGUGCCCACUUUAUACAAGAGGCAGCUAAAAGAGUAUAGCAGUAUUAACUGACUAGCCCAGGGUCAUGUAACUAGUAUAAAACCAUGUUUGAUGGUUCCUUUUCCCCCUCACUUUAUCUUGUAUUGGAUUGUAUCCAUCAAGAUAGGCUUGGUCAAGGGUUAGCAAAGCUCUGUGAAGAGCCAGAUAAGUACUUUGCUCCUCAAAGGCCGCCUCAUCUGGUUCCUGCUACAAUUACUCAAUAUGACCUUUGCAGUCUGAAAGCAGCCACAGAGGACAGGUACAGAGUGAGUGGCCUCUGUCCAGUGAGCCUUGACUUGAACAAGCAGUGGGCAGCCCUGGAGUUGAGACUGUAGACUCCAGAGUUGGCUAGGACAUAGUGACAGUCAAACCCUAAAGCUCACUGGCUUAGUACAGCAGAAGGAAACAUUUUGUUAUCUUGAAGGCAGAAGGGAUCAGAGGGAAACCCACAGCAGGGCUUUAGAGCCCUCUGCGGGGGCUUCUCAGCCUGGGCUUCUAGGUUACUGUGCAGCUUGUCAGAAGCUCUGGGGAGGGCAGAGAAACCUAAAAGCAUCCACAUGGAAGUGGCAGGUAUUGCUCACCUCUUUUCAUUCACACAAGUUCAAAAAUGGUGACCCCUUGUUCUUCCCACAAGCACAGUCAGUUCUGCCCCUCCAGUCCCCUCUAAAGCGCCAAGUCUGCAAAGCCAGGUGCUCUCAUAGUGCAGUUCUGGGGUUGUUCUCUGGGUACCUUAUGGUGGUUUGAAUAUGUUUGGCCCAGGGAGUGGCACUAUUUAGAGAUGAGGCCUUUUUGGAGUUGGUAAGACCUUGGCAGAAAUGUGUCAUUGUGGGCAUGGGCUUUAAGAGACCCUCCCUCCUUCUAGCCGUGUGGGAGCCAGUUUUCUCUUAGCGGCCUUCAGAUGAAGAUGUAGAACUCUCAGAUCCUCCUGCACCAUGCCUGCCUGGACACUGCCAUGCUCCUGUCUUGAUGAUAACAGACUGAACCUCUGAACCUGUAAGCCAGCCCGAUUAAAUGUUGUUCUU
Molecule: long non-coding RNA, 1298 nt
Filed under: Mus musculus (house mouse)
Lineage: Eukaryota; Metazoa; Chordata; Mammalia; Rodentia; Muridae
Description: long non-coding RNA chr6:85928980-85930278
Source: RNAcentral